RNAcentral lists this ribosomal RNA (572 nucleotides) under uncultured soil bacterium. RNAcentral's name for it is "bacterial SSU rRNA". It matches the Rfam family "Bacterial small subunit ribosomal RNA", at positions 31 to 635 of the family's 1533-position model. The record is from RNAcentral.
UCACGCUGGCGGCGCGCUUAACACAUGCAAGUCGAACGAGAAAGUGGAGCAAUCCAUGAGUACAGUGGCGUACGGGUGAGUAACACGUGGGUAAUCUACCUUUUAGUGUGGAAUAACCCUGGGAAACCGGGGCUAAUACCGCAUAAGCUCGAGAGAGGAAAGUCGCAAGACGCUGAAAGAGGAGCCCGCGGCCGAUUAGCUAGUUGGCAGGGUAAGAGCCUACCAAGGCAGAGAUCGGUAGCCGGCCUGAGAGGGCACACGGCCACACUGGCACUGAAACACGGGCCAGACUCCUACGGGAGGCAGCAGUGGGGAAUCUUGCACAAUGGGGGCAACCCUGAUGCAGCGACGCCGCGUGAGCGAUGAAGCCCUUCGGGGUGUAAAGCUCUUUCGGCAGGGAAGAUAAUGACGGUACCUGCAGAAGCAGCUGCGGCUAACUACGUGCCAGCAGCCGCGGUAAUACGUAGGCAGCGAGCGUUGUUCGGAGUUACUGGGCGUAAAGGGUGUGUAGGCGGUUGUUUAAGUUUGGUGUGAAAUCUCCCGGCUCAACUGGGAGGGUGCGCCGAAUACUG